UACGUAGGGGGCUAGCGUUGUUCGGAAUCACUGGGCGUAAAGGGUGCGUAGGCGGGUCUUUAAGUCAGGGGGGAAAUCCUGGAGCUCAACUCCAGAACUGCCUUUGAUACUGAGGAUCUCGAGUCCGGGAGAGGUGAGUGGAACUCCGAGUGUAGAGGUGAAAUUCGUAGAUAUUCGGAAGAACACCAGUGGCGAAGGCGGCUCACUGGCCCGGUACUGACGCUGAUGUGCGAAAGCGUGGGGAGCAAACAGG
Molecule: ribosomal RNA, 253 nt
Filed under: uncultured bacterium
Lineage: Bacteria
Description: partial 16S ribosomal RNA
Rfam family: Bacterial small subunit ribosomal RNA
Source: RNAcentral